CUAACCCCCACCUUCUCUUCUCUCUCUCCCAUUCCCUUCAUCCCUCCGGCCGCCACCUCUUUCCCCCCUCCCGAUCAAUCUCUCCACCUCGUCCCUCUCUCUGCUCUCCCAUUGUACCUCCACCUCGCACGCCCCUCUCUCUGCUCUCCCUCUCCUCUCCGCGAGCCCGCCGCCACCCUCACCAUGGCGUCGUCCCCCACCGCCAGCAGCCGGGAUCCGGCCUCCCUCGCACAGCAGUGGCGGGCCUCACAGUUGCAUCCCAGCGGGAUCCGGCCUCCCCUGCCCCUCGCCACCCGCCAGCCGCCGGAUAUCAAGUACGGCGCCGCCUACCCCGACCGGCCCGCGCGCCGCUUGACCUGACCCCGCGCACGCGCCGUCGGGUCCCGCGCCCCCGAUUCCUCUCCCGCUCGCGGGUAGAGAGGAGGAGCUUGCCGCUGCCGUCGUGGAGACGCUGGGCUGUCGCUGCUUGACGAGGAUUCCGUGUGGAGCUGACGCUGGACUGCCGUGCCGUGGGUUCGGUGCGUGGCCAUGGAGGGCGGCACGCCGGUUCUCGAUUUUGUGGUUUUAGGUUUCUGUUUAUGUGAUUCGUUUCUGUGGUGAGAUGUGUAAUCCUGUGAGUUUCCGUUUUGUGAUUUGUGAAUUGUUGAAUGGACGACCAAAAUUUGCAGGCCCGUGGCCUGUUUUAACGAAAAUGUUAUCAGUGGCGGGCGCAAAAUGUAACCGACAGCGAUAGGUGCAUCAUUACUAAGGGGCGUAGCACCCACCAGUGAUGUACCACGUCACUGGCAACAAGUUUGUAACUGACGGCCC
This is a long non-coding RNA of Brachypodium distachyon (stiff brome), 810 nucleotides long. RefSeq lists it as uncharacterized. NCBI's taxonomy places the organism in Eukaryota, Viridiplantae, Streptophyta, Magnoliopsida, Poales, Poaceae. The transcript has 2 exons. The record is from RefSeq and is a predicted model, not a curated record.